GCUUGUCUCAAAGAUUAAGCCAUGCACGUCUAAGUAUAAGCGAUUAUACUGUGAAACUGCGAAUGGCUCAUUAUAUCAGUUAUAGUUUAUUUGAUGGUCCUUGCUACUUGGAUAACCGUAGUAAUUCUAGAGCUAAUACAUGCAUAAAGCCCUGACUGUUUGGAAGGGGUGUAUUUAUUAGAUGGAAACCAAUUCGGGGCAACCCGGUAUAUGGUGAUUCAUAAUAACUUUCGGAUCGAUCUUCGGAUCGAUGCAUCAUUCAAGUUUCUGCCCUAUCAGCUUUGGAUGGUAGGAUAUGGGCCUACCAUGGCAUUAACGGGUAACGGGGAAUUAGGGUUUGAUUCCGGAGAGGGAGCCUUAGAAACGGCUACCACAUCCAAGGAAGGCAGCAGG
RNAcentral lists this ribosomal RNA (393 nucleotides) under uncultured Synurales. RNAcentral describes it as "partial small subunit ribosomal RNA". It matches the Rfam family "Eukaryotic small subunit ribosomal RNA", at positions 30 to 432 of the family's 1831-position model. Lineage: Eukaryota; Synurophyceae; Synurales. The record is from RNAcentral.